CUGGCAGUCUUCAAACUACAACUAAAGAUCUACCUCUUAAUGAAGUGUUUAAAUUGGCACCUUAUUUAAAAAAUAAAAUAAAAAAUAAUAAUUAAAAAAAAAAACACUUGUAUUGUCCUGAGCAAUUACCACUACAAAUACCAUUACAAGCCAUCAGCUCUUAACCAUUAAAACCAUGACCAAAUGUUUUCCAUUACAUAGUAGGGCACAAUUAAGGACGUAGAUCAUUAAUGGUAUCCACUAGACACAACAUGCCACUAACAGAAUGUAAAAAAUUACCAGUUGAGACCCACAGGGACCAUUACAGUUUCCAUUAAAACUAAUACAAUGCCCAUUAUAAUCAUUACAAAUUCUGUUAGGGUUUCUAUAGUUUUUUUCAGCUGGGAAGAGUGAGGAGGCUAUCCGCCCACAGUACGUCUGCCCAGACAUGGUUGCCAGAUUGAGCUUACUUGAUUUUGCUAUUUAUAAAAUGAAAAAUGAAAUGGGACAAAUUUUAUGGUUGAUAAUUUUGUCUAGGCUUCAUUUGGUUAUUAUAAAUUGGGAUAGUUUAGCGUAAAUUGGACGGGUUUUAAAUUAUCCCCACUGUUUUGGAAGCAAGUCAAGGCAACCCCGAUGAAAUGAAACCAAAAAUUAUCGGUACACGGCCACGUUCACUUUUAAACACCCGACCAGUUUUUGACACUGCUUUUUGAGAAAUGGCCUCCACAGUGACCACAGAUGCUCAUGGAGUCAGGGUGGUGACCCAGGUCAUUCCUCUGGUGAGUCCAGAGACUGUCCAGUGUCCCGGUCAGAACAAAGACAGCAAGACUAAAGUACCUGAAGCCCCGUACAUGACCAGGAUGUUCCUGAAGGGAGAGCCUGUAGCAUUAGGGACUGUGCAGAUCAUGAUUGGGAUCGUGAUGAUAGCUUUGGGAGCAGUUACUUGGUUCACACAAAUUCUGUAUGGUGAAAUCCCUCUGGGCCUUGGACUAUCAUUUAUCUUCUCUGGAUCUGUAACCUUGGGUGCACACAAGGGAACCUGUCCUCCAAUUAUUAAAAGCACAAUUGCCCUGAACAUCAUCAGUGCUGUACUUGCCAUGUCCGGCAUCUGCUACUUCUGCUUUGCACUUGCCAUAAAAGCUCAUUUGGAUGCUUGUAGUGAUGAUCAUGAGAAAAAGUUCUACUACACCGGCUACUAUGACUGCCAGUUUGCAGCUAGGCGUCUGCAGAACUUAAUAAGCGGAAUAAAGGGCAUACUUUUGAUUUUAUCCGUGCUGGAGGUGUGCGUGUGUACCACAACUGUUGUCUUUUCCUGCAAGGCCAACCUACAUGCAUCUGGGACUAAAAUGGAUGCGGUGGUGGUGCAGGGAAGAUGCAGCAGCCAAGAAGCUCUGCUGAACAGUGAAUUGGCUUCACCUCCAGCCUAUGAGCCUUGAGUGAACCCAUCCUAUGAAAGCAAUUUAUGGUUUAGAGUACAGUAUAGUAUAACAUAGUUUAAAGUAGUGCUUGCACCUUUUAGACACUAAUGUAAGAGUCUCAGAUAUUACACUUAAUUUUUUUCAUGUAUUCUGCUUUUGACGUUGCACCUUUGCACAAAUUUAUGCCACAUUGAAAAUGCCUGCAGUUAUACUGAAUACUUGUAUUCUUCAAUAAAUGCUAAAGUGCACUUAUUACCUGUGUGUGCCUCUUAUCGCUGUACGAUUUAGUGACACAAUUCCCAGUGAAACUGAGCCAUAGAUUGAUCUUCACAGCAUAGUAGUGGGGUGAGGCAAUACCUUUUGCCCACUUGCUGUGUCUGCGUUUAGUGCAUGUCCUUUUCACACACAGACUGAAACAGUGUCGGCUCUUUAACAUCAUAUUACCUUCUCCUUCUCCUCCCACACCCACGACGUAGCACACUAGUGUCAAUACUCUCCAGCAGUGGGUCUUCUCUACUUGCUGCAGUCUGCCACACCACAUUCUCAACUGCGCUCUUCAGCCCCUCCAAAGCGUUUAGAUAAUUCAUGCUCCGGUGAAACAUACCUCACAACACAGCUCUUAGAGUCGAGAUUGCUCUAGAAUACGGAGGUAUUGAGCUCGCCCUCAUUCGGCUGUGUCCGGAUUGCCUCGCCUCAUUACAUUAAGAGUGCUGCAGCGGUUUGGACCCCUCCUCGGUUUGUCAACACCGCCUCUGCACAACUCAAGGUAUGGCUUAUUCAGAUUCAUGAACUGCAUGCAAAGGCAAUCGGAGCAUUUUUAUUGCGAUUGUUUUAACUUUAAGAUGGAGCGAAUGCGCGCGUGUGUGAUGCGGUUCAGUCCCAGACUGGGAUGCUGUCAUCUUGCUGUGCUGAAUAAUGUCGUGUCGCUGACUGUGUUUGGCUCACACAGAGCACCAUGUCGCUGUACCCGUCUCAGAUUAAGGCUUUCAAGAGCAGCGAGCCCAAAACCCUUGGGGCAGUGGAGAUCAUCAUUGGGUUGCUGACGGUCAUUCUGAGCACGAUUGUGUAUAAACUGCACUACCACAUCCAGCGGGAGGUCAUCAUCCUCAUCCUGAAUGGUGCUCAAGUAAGGCCUGGCUCUUAUCAAUUUAUCAACUCGUUGAAAAUAUCGUCCAAAAAUAUAUGUCCAAGUAAAUCAAGCAAUACCUAUUGACCUAUCGGAGGAGCAAGGAGUGAAGUAAUUAAGAGAUUUAAAAAAAAAUAUUCUAUGCAGUGGAUUGAGUCAAUAAGGUAAAUUUAGAGUUUAUUUUUCAGAAUAAAUGCAUUCAGUUUAAAUAACUGAGAGAAUUGCAAUGAAAGGAGGGUACGAUAAUAAAUAACUGCACUAGUUACACUGGAAUUCACUGGUCUGCUUUGCAUGUCAUGUAAUAACAUAUUUAUGGUUGGUCGACUUACAGAAGUGAUGCAGUGUUUUGUAUUGCUCUUUCCUGCAGCUCAUUAUCACUGGAAUUGUCUUGGUGCAUACUGGUAGGAGACCAUCUAAAUGUCUGGUAUGAUAUUUUGUAUACCAUAAUGAAAAGAAAUUCUCUGUAUAAUGAGUAUAAUAAAUGUAUACAAUCUGUUAAGCACUUUAAGUAUUUUAGAAAAUGCUGGGCAAGUGCAAUUUAGCCCUUUGGACAGCACCCAGCGCUGACUGAUAGCCAGAAUCUUGCUUCUUCAGCACCCUAGACAUCUGUGUUUUAUCCUCUCUUUUUUGGCUGAAAGGUAAAUAGGCAAAUGACCAUUGCUUAAGAUCUUUUUUUUUUUUUGGAUGAUGAUUAUGAGCAGUGUGAGCACUGUGACUGAAAUGCCAGUUCAGAGCAGUCAGUCAUUCACUUAGAUUUUCUCUGCUUAAAGGUUCAUCUUUCAUUGCUCUUGAGUUGACUUGGAUGUAACAGUUCAGCUGAAAGGCUUAUGUAUUGUUGAAUGUUCUCUCUCAAAGCUUUAUAGCAGUCGCUGUUGUAAGAUUGUGUCUUAAAUUGCUUCACUGUUUCUGUACUUUUUACUUUUUGCUUUUGUUAUAUAUUCUUGUUAUUGGAUCCUUCCGGCUCAUGCCAGCAUCAAUACUAUCUGUGUACAACGCAUUUGUCACUCUGCUGCUCAGCCUCUCUCUUAUGGGGAUGUGUCCAGUUUCAUUCACUCUGGGCAGAUCUCGGUUGAACUAAUCUCUACAGUAUACAGUAUGCCUGAAAGUUACAAGCAGAUUUGCAUUUUUUUGGACAGAGAAUUCAGAUUUGUUAUUUUUAUUUUUUUUAUUUUCACAGGUGGGUACAACCAUUGUUUUGCAGUUGCUAACCGCAGCAUUUGAUAUUGUCGGAUUUGGUCUCAUAGCCCGACAUGUGCCCUUUCGUGGGGAAUCCUACUAUUACAGAGACACCGAGUUCCUGGUGAAUGGCAUUUUGGGCACCUUGAUUGGUUUUUUGGUAUUGGUGUGUAUUAUCGGUUUGGUUGUGGCACUUUUUGGAGUGUAUGCCCUAUCUGUUAGUGCUAUUAAGGAGAUGACACCUAUUCCUACCUCCACUGCAAACGCACAGUACGGUGCCGGAGGACAGGCCAGGACUAAUGUGCGUAAUGGGAACUGACCGAACAAAAUCUCUCACAGGAUAAGAUCAAUGGUUUUAGCACAGUUUCAUACCAAUCAAAAGAAACAACUGUUUCAACUCUAAAUCACACACAAUUCAAACAAAAACUUUUGUGACAAUGUAAAUAAUUUGUAAACAAACAAACAAAAAAAAACAACUGUUAGGUCGUUACUUGGCUGUUUUCUCACGCUGCAGUGAAUUUUGAUGGCUAAAUAGUUGCUAGGACUUCAUUCAUUUUGCACUAAUAGACAAGUUUGUUUGCAUGAAAAUACUUUUGUAGUGUCAGUAAUGAGCAAGCCAUAGACGUGAAUGCUGUAAGAUUGUACAGAAAUGUAGGUAGCAAUUCUUUUUUUUUAAUAUGCUAACCAAUUUGCAAAUUAGACAGAUUAUCAGUCACAAAAUACAUGUUUGUACUGGACUACAACUGCUUUCAAAACAAAGAAAGAAAUAUGAGAGAUGAUGUAUAAUAUAGUAUAUUAUUAAUGCAAGUCUGUGCUGGGGUGCUGUAGAACAUCAUUUGCAUGAAACAUUAGUCAAAUUCUAAGGCUAGUAAUGAGAGAUAAUACUGAACAACAUUUAUUAAGCUUUUCCUCAAAAAAACAUUGGGUUCAAAAGAAUCUACCAAGGAAUCUAUCUGGCCAACUCAAACAAAAACCUUAAGAUUACACACUAGCAAUAUAUAAUGAACACUAGUAAUGUCAGUGUAUUUGUAAUAUUUGCAUUUACAUUUUUAGGCAACCAGAGUUGACAGACUUUACAAAAGAAUGAAAGCUUGAUAAAUAUUGCCCAGAGUACACAUGAAAGUAAGGAUGUUUCUAAUGUGGGAGAACUGUGUCAAGAUCAUCUAAGUGUUAACAAAUGAUUGGCAUUGCUUGGCUUUUUUUGUCAUCCUAUUUUAUAUUUACUGAUACUUCAGGAAAGCUAUGAUGACUGCCAACUCUGUAAGUGCCACCACUUGUGACCAAAAUUAAUGGACACUAACAACAAAAAGUAAGAGGUUGAAGCCUCACUUAAGGGCUCAGCCGGUGUAAUCUCCUCUUGUGGAAGCAUGUUAUCAGUUCACAGUACUGUCUGUGUCAGUGUGUCAUUGCCUUUACAACAGCAUGUCAGAUUUACAUUUUGCCUGUAUUCUUCAACUUCUUUAUAUGUAGUGAUGGAAAAUCAUAGACAGUGUCAUGCGUGUUUAUGUAUGAUUGAUGUUUAAAAUAAACAUGAUUUGCUAGACAAACAGCAAUGGAAUAUUUUCUGCAUUAAAAAGUGUAAAUAAAGGAAAGUGCCAUACCCACAAAGUAAAAUAAAUAUUCAGUAUACCUAAAAAUUUAUUAUGUUACUUAUUUUCCAUUUAAAAAGCACCAAAAUAGUACCGCAGUAAGGUCUAAAGUAACACAAUUGUUGAUUCAAGUUCAAAUACUUGCCCUGUCCUACUCGCCUGCUCCAAUUUCAUGUGGUUCUACAGUCCCCUCCUAAAAUACUGGAACACAGGGUUAAUUCGUUGUUGUUUUUUGCUGUAGACUGAAGACAUUUGGGUUUAAAUUAAAAAUUAAAUAUGAGAAGAAAGUUAGAAUUUCAGCUUUUAUUUCCUGAUAUUUAUAUGUAGAUGUGUUAAAUGACAUAGAACAUUUUGUAUCAACCACCCAAUUUGUAGGUCAGCAAAAAUAUUGGAACAUGGACUGACAGAUAUUUCUUGUUACCCAGGUGUGUCUUGUUAAGUUGAUUGUUUAAACAAUAAAUAGCUCUGAACAUCUACUCAUGGUUUCAGCCUUCAGUUUCACCUGUGAAGACUGCAUUUGUUGUUAAAAAGGAUAGGCCAACAUGAAAAUUGGACAGCCGUCUAUGGGAGAAAAGCAAGCCAUCUUGAAGCUGAGAAAAGAGGGAAAAUCAAUCAGAGACAUUGCACAAACAUUGGGCAUAGUGACUACAACAAUUUGGAAUGUCCUGCAAAAGAAAGAAACCACUGAUGUACUGAGCAACAGACACUGAGAACAACAGCAGCUGAAGACAGAAACAUUGUGAGAGCUGUAAAGAAAAACACAAAAACAACAAUCAUUGACAUAACCAACAACCUCCACAGGACACUCGUGAAGGUAUCACAAUCCACCGCUCAAAGACUUCAAGUGCAGAAAUAUAUAGAGGCCAUACCACAAGAUGCUAUCUACUCAUCAGCUGAAAGAAUCAGAAAGCCAGAUUGGAAUUGGCAAAGAAAUACAGAGAUGAGCCACAAAAGUUCUGGAACCAAGAUAACCUCUACAAAGCCAUGGAAAGGCCAAUGUGUGGAGAAAGAAGGGAUCUGCUCAUGAUCCAAAACAUACAGGUUCAUCUCUGAAUCAUGGUGGAGGUAGUGUCAGGGCUUGGGCUUGCAUGGCCUUUUCUUUAACAGGCUCACUAGUGUUUAUUGAUGAUAUAACUCAUGAUGGUAGCAGCAGAAUGAAUAAAGAAGUUUGCAGGAACAUUUGUCAAUUUACAGAGAAAUGCAUCCAAACUAGCUGGAAGGAACUUCAUAAUGCAACAAGAAAAUUACCCAAAACACUGACAACUCAACAAAGGACUUCAUCAAGGGGGAAAAAGUGGAAGGUUUGAGACUGCCCAGUUAAUCACCAGAUCUUAACCCAAUUUAGCAGAAUUUCAAAUCCUGAAGAGGAGACUGAAGGGAGAAACCACCUGAAACAAACAACAACUGAAAGAGGCUGCUGUAAAAGCCUGGAAAACCAUUAAAAAAGAAGAAGAAGAAACCAACAAUUUGGUGAUGUCAAUGAGGCUUGAUGCAGUUAUUGGAAGCAAGGCAUAUGCAAUCAAAUAUUAUGUUAUUUUCUUUCAUUUACUUCAAGACUUACCUUUUCUUAUACUUUUGCUCACCUAAAAAUUGGGUGGUCUGAUACAAAAGGUUCUAUGUUUAAUGUUGUUUAACACAUCUAGAUGUAAAUACCAGGAAAUAAAAGCUGAAAUAAUAAACUUUAUUUGCAUACCCAUCUUUUGAUCUCAAACCCAAAUGUCUUUGGUGUAUAGCACAAACAAAUGAAUUGGCCUUGCCAUUCCAAUCAUUUCAGAUGAGACUGUAAGUGAAUUCACUUAUUGAUAACAAGUUGCCUAGUCGUAUUCGGCUAACUUUAUAACAGAUCUGCAUAUAUAAAACAGUGAUUCUUUCAUUCAUCUUACGUAACCACUUUAUCCUGGGCAGGGUCAUGGAGGGUUUGGAGUCUAUCCGGGGGACACUGGCUGUGAGGUGGGAAUACUCUAUGAAACACCACUGCAUUGCAGGGCAGCAUUCACACACUCUAAUCCACCUUUAGUUAUGUUUUAUGGGAGGAAACCCACCUGUACAUAAGGAGUGCAUAAACAAGAUUCUAUCAGCACCUGACUUUUCUACAUGGCCACAAUUAAGCAAUGCAUAUUUAAUCUGAAGAUUUAAUUUGUACUCAAUUGUUUAUAUUAAGAUUAUUAAUUUUGUAUUUGUGGUUCUGAGUACUGUUUCAUUAUAACUUGUUUUCUGGGAGAGCUGGUGCAUUUAUACUGUAGACUUAUGUCAUGCGCUACAACAACACUUCCCCAUAGGAAACACUUAUGUAUCCUGAUUCUAAAAGCCUAAUUUCUCUUCUCUUCUACUGCAUUUUAAUAACUGGUACCUAUGUAAAGAUGGCAGACAUUGAUUGAU
Long non-coding RNA from Ictalurus punctatus (channel catfish), 7667 nucleotides. The record is from Ensembl. Lineage: Eukaryota; Metazoa; Chordata; Actinopteri; Siluriformes; Ictaluridae.